RNAcentral lists this long non-coding RNA (600 nucleotides) under Olea europaea (common olive). RNAcentral's name for it is "long non-coding RNA (OEUR_LNC010827)". Lineage: Eukaryota; Viridiplantae; Streptophyta; Magnoliopsida; Lamiales; Oleaceae. The record is from RNAcentral.
AAAAAAAAAAAAUUAAGAGCAACAGAAACACUAAAAGCAUUGAUAAACUCCAGUCUCUAUUACAAAUAAUGAAUAGUUCAUCCAUUAACGCGCAGUUCCAAAAUUAAAUCUGGACGUUCUAUAAACUGUCAGUGGAGUCCGAUAAAUUCAACCUAGGGUUUUACUUACCCAAGGAAAGCUAGAAACGUAUAACAUAAAAUUAAAGCAAAUUUCCAGUUAACUGACCUCAUCUUCGAUUGGGUUCAAGAACUUCAGAACAACCAAAAAUAAAAAUCUGCAAAAAGAACAAUGAUAGCCUCAUUCUCGAGGGGGCGAAAAAGAAAGAAGCUAGGGUUUAAAAGGAACCGAUGAAAAUUCCGAACAAAUACCGAACUAAGAGGAAAUUAGCAGGAAUGAAGAGAUUGAGAACUUACCAGUGGAGGUUUUACGAACGAGGGUUUUGUUGAAGCCCCAAUUCCUUCAAAUUCAAAAGCGUGCUCGACAGGCGCUCGAUUUGUACGUGUGAGCAAAUUUAUAUGGUGAACCCUUUAGGAGGCCCAAUAUUUCGCCUAAUAAAAAUUAUAUUUUCUACAAAUUCAUUUUCAAUCAUAUAUUAUCCCU